UAGUACGGCGAGUGAGUGGGAAAAGCUCAACUUUAAAAUCUGGCAGCUUCGCUGUCCGAGUUGUAGUCUCGAGAAGUGUUUUCCGCGCUGGAUCGUGUAUGAGUCUGUUGGAAUACAGCGUCAUAGAGGGUGAGAACCCCGUUCAUGACACGACUACCAGUGCUUUGCGAUACACUUUCGAUGAGUCGAGUUGUUUGGGAAUGCAGCUCAAAAUGGGUGGUAAAUUCCAUCUAAAGCUAAAUAUUGGCGAGAGACCGAUAGCAAACAAGUACCGUGAGGGAAAGAUGAAAAGCACUUUGGAAAGAGAGUUAACAGUACGUGAAAUUGUCGAAAGGGAAACGCUUGAAGUCAGACGUGCGCGGUGCGAUUCAGCCUUGGUUCGCCAGGGUGUACUUCGUACCAUUGCAGGCCAGCAUCGGUUUUGUGAGCCGGAUAAAGGUUAGAGGAAGGUAGCGGUCCAGGCCGUGUUAUAGCCUCUAACUGAAUACGGAUUGUGAGACCGAGGGACGCAGCGCGCCGCAAAGCAAAGGGUCCGCCCUUUUCGCGCUUAGGAUGCUGGUGAAAUGGCUUUAAACGACCCGUCUU
RNAcentral lists this ribosomal RNA (585 nucleotides) under uncultured Sporobolomyces. RNAcentral's name for it is "eukaryotic LSU rRNA". It matches the Rfam family "Eukaryotic large subunit ribosomal RNA", at positions 81 to 655 of the family's 3401-position model. The record is from RNAcentral. Lineage: Eukaryota; Fungi; Basidiomycota.